AUCACUUCUCAGCCUUUUGGCUAAGAUCAAGUGUAGUAUCUGCUCUUAUCAGUUUAAUAUCUGACACGUCCUCUAUAUGAGGACAACAUAUUAAAUGAAUUUUUGGAAUUAGGAGUUGGAAUAGGAGCUUGCUCCAUCCACUCCACUCAUUGACCUGGUAUUGCAGUACCUCCAGGAAUGGUGCAAAAAAA
Cricetulus griseus (Chinese hamster) is the source of this 191-nucleotide small nuclear RNA. Its record names the gene U2. It matches the Rfam family "U2 spliceosomal RNA". From Rfam's summary of the family: U2 is a small nuclear RNA (snRNA) component of the spliceosome (involved in pre-mRNA splicing). Lineage: Eukaryota; Metazoa; Chordata; Mammalia; Rodentia; Cricetidae. The record is from Ensembl.